AGCUCACCAGUGAUGUUUCUAAAUAAAUGUCUGAACAAAUGACAUUUCGUGUGAUUUCAAUCUUAAAACUGAGGUGAGCG
Molecule: small nucleolar RNA, 80 nt
Organism: Engraulis encrasicolus (European anchovy)
Lineage: Eukaryota; Metazoa; Chordata; Actinopteri; Clupeiformes; Engraulidae
Product: small nucleolar RNA SNORD72
Exons: 1
Source: RefSeq, a predicted model, not a curated record